This 1412-nucleotide ribosomal RNA is filed under the name Aspergillus steynii IBT 23096. RNAcentral's name for it is "SSU rRNA". It matches the Rfam family "Eukaryotic small subunit ribosomal RNA", at positions 440 to 1823 of the family's 1831-position model. The record is from RNAcentral. Lineage: Eukaryota; Fungi; Ascomycota; Eurotiomycetes; Eurotiales; Aspergillaceae.
AUUACCCAAUCCCGACACGGGGAGGUAGUGACAAUAAAUACUGAUACGGGGCUCUUUUGGGUCUCGUAAUUGGAAUGAGUACAAUCUAAAUCCCUUAACGAGGAACAAUUGGAGGGCAAGUCUGGUGCCAGCAGCCGCGGUAAUUCCAGCUCCAAUAGCGUAUAUUAAAGUUGUUGCAGUUAAAAAGCUCGUAGUUGAACCUUGGGUCUGGCUGGCCGGUCCGCCUCACCGCGAGUACUGGUCCGGCUGGACCUUUCCUUCUGGGGAACCUCAUGGCCUUCACUGGCUGUGGGGGGAACCAGGACUUUUACUGUGAAAAAAUUAGAGUGUUCAAAGCAGGCCUUUGCUCGAAUACAUUAGCAUGGAAUAAUAGAAUAGGACGUGCGGUUCUAUUUUGUUGGUUUCUAGGACCGCCGUAAUGAUUAAUAGGGAUAGUCGGGGGCGUCAAGUAUUCAGCUGUCAGAGGUGGAAAUUUCUUUGGGAUCUUUGCAUGAAGACUAACUACUGCGAAAGCAUUCGCCAAGGAUUUUUUCAUUAAUCAGGGAACGAAAGUAGGGGAUCGAAGACGAUCAGAUUAACCGUCGUAGUCUUAACCAUAAAACUAAUGCCGACUAGGGAUCGGACGGUGUUUUCUAAUUAUGACCGUUCGGCACCUUACGAGAAAAUCAAGUUUUUGGUUUCUGGGGGAAGUAUGGUCGCAAGGCUUGAAACUUAAAGUAAAUUGACGGAAGGCCACCACAAGGGCUGGAGCCUGCGGCUUAAUUUGACUCACACGGGAAACUCACCAGGCAUCCAGACAAAAUUUAAGGAUUGACAGAUGUGAGAGCUCUUUCUUGAUCUUUUGGGAAUGGGUGGUCGCAUGCCUUCUUAGUGGUGGAUGAUUAUGUCUGCUUUAAUUUGCGAUACACGAAACGAGCACUCGGCCUUAAAUAGCCCGGUUCCAGCAUAUUGCGGGCGCUGCUUCUUAAGGGACUUAUCGGCUCAAGCCGAUGGAUUGACGCGGCCGGCAAUAACAAGUUUUCUUGAUUGGCCCUUAGAUGGUUCUGGCCGCCUAACGCGGGCCGCACACUGGACAAGGGUCACGCGGGGAAGUACAUCAACCUUGGCCGAGGAGGUCUGGGUAAUCUUGUUUAAACCCUGUCCGUUGGCUGGGAUAAGAGCAUUGCAAUUAUUGCUCUUCAAACGAGGAAUGCCUAGUAGGCCACGAGUUCAUCAGCUCGUGCCGAUUACGUCCCUGCCCUUUGUUAACACCGCCCGUCGCUUACUACCGAUUGAAUGGCUCGGUGAGGCCUUCGGACUGGCUCAGGGGAGUUGGCAACGACCCCCCAGAGCCGGAAAGUUGUCAAACCCCGGUCAUUUAGAGGAAGUAAAAAGUCGUAACAAGGUUUCCGUAGAGUGUGAACCUGCGGAAG